This 330-nucleotide ribosomal RNA is filed under the name uncultured bacterium. Its description in RNAcentral is "bacterial SSU rRNA". It matches the Rfam family "Bacterial small subunit ribosomal RNA", at positions 568 to 898 of the family's 1533-position model. The record is from RNAcentral.
UGUGUAGGCGGUUGUUUAAGUUUGGUGUGAAAUCUCCCGGCUCAACUGGGAGGGUGCGCCGAAUACUGAAUGACUAGAGUGCGGGAGAGGAGAGUGGAAUUCCUGGUGUAGCGGUGAAAUGCGUAGAUAUCAGGAGGAACACCGGCGGUGUAGACGGCUCUCUGGACCGUAACUGACGCUGAGACACGAAAGCGUGGGUAGCAAACAGGAUUAGAUACCCUGGUAGUCCACGCCCUAAACGAUGCAUAUUUGGUGUGGGUCAUUCAGUUGAUCCGUGCCGGAGCUAACGCGUUAAAUAUGCCGCCUGGGGAGUACAGUCGCAAGGCUGAA